CUUUUCCCUCCUGCUGGGGUGGAGUUCCUGCUGUUGUGUUUGUGUUUAUGCUACUCACUCAUCACUCAGCGCAGAGAACUCCACACCUGGCAGGGCCCAGCACAUCCCCUGGCUCUGGGAUGAGAUUUGUCCUUUCUCCCUACGAGGAAAAGCCUUCAGGCUCUGCUCUGAGUUCCUCCUGCUCCAGGAAAAUCCUCGGGAAAGAGGGCUGGAGCUGGCCUGAGAGCUACAGAAGGUGCUGCUGCUGCUGGGAUCUCCUCCUGGAGACCCCCAAGGAUCCCAUGGACCCACCAAACACCCCCUGGAGCAGCAGGACACCAACCCUGGUGCUCAGGGACUCCUCUCACAGCCCUGGGGAUGGAGCAGGAGCCCAGAGCUCCCUGGGGAGGCUGGAGCUGUUCCCUGGCUCCCAGAUUUUCCCUGGGAGCUGAGUGCCAGGCACUCACCUGGCUGCAGAGCCCCCAGCAUCCCCUCCCAGCCCAGGCUGUGUUUGUCUUGGCAGGGAGCAGCGCUGUGGACACAGCUGCAGGAUUUGUUUUGUCUCUCCCACAAGCCUGGCUCAGCCAAAUCUCUGCAGGCUUUGUGAAAAUGCUCCUUUCUGACAAGAAUUUUAUACAAACGGCCCCAAAGUCUGCCCUGCUCAGCCCCUGCCUCUUCCCCUCUCCACACACACAGAGGACACUUGGAUUUUCCAGCUUUCUCCAGAAGAUUCUCUCAGGAAUUUCCAGCUCUCUGCUCACACAACAUCUGGAUGGAUUUGGGAUCCCAGCACCUCAGGCCCCAGUGAGGGAGAAAAGCCAAAAAUGAGCGGCUCAGACUCCAGCAGAGGCCUUGGAGGGGCUCACCUGCAGCCCGAGCUCCGGGAGGUGCUUUGGGAUUCCCGGGAAUUCUGCACAGCCCGGUGGGAUUGGGUGGAUUGAAGGAGCCAGCAGAGCCCAGCUGCCGCUCCUGCCUCACCCCCUGAGCCACACGGAAAAAUCCCAGGAAAGGCAGGGCCAGCCCAGUCCUGGGAGAUUGGAGCUGGAAAAUCAGGACAUUUCCAGCUGCUCUGAGCUCAGGUCUGGCAGCUCAAAAUCGGCUCCGUGUUUCGGAUCCGGGCCACUCCAAGAAUCCCACGGGAGCUGGGAGUGUCCAUCAGAGCCAGCGGGAAAAGGAGGAAUUCCCUGGCUCAGCCAAAG
This 1178-nucleotide long non-coding RNA is filed under the name Cyanistes caeruleus (blue tit). RNAcentral's name for it is "lncRNA (ENSCCEG00000005791.1)". The record is from RNAcentral. Lineage: Eukaryota; Metazoa; Chordata; Aves; Passeriformes; Paridae.